AAUCAUCAACCCCACUGGGGGCUUGGACUUGGAGCGUGCUGGCGAAGGUCAGCUCCUCUUUAAAUGCAUCAGCGGAAGAAUGCACCUUCUCUUUCUCCCUUCGGCGUGAUAAUCCUGUUGCGCCGUGUGCGGGUGGAAGGUGUUCCGCUUAUAAUCGUCCUUGGACAACGUUACAC
This 176-nucleotide unclassified non-coding RNA is filed under the name uncultured Amphinema. RNAcentral's name for it is "sequence contains ITS2". Lineage: Eukaryota; Fungi; Basidiomycota; Agaricomycetes; Atheliales; Atheliaceae. The record is from RNAcentral.